CCUACGGGUGGCAGCAGUGAGGAAUAUUGGUCAAUGGACGAGAGUCUGAACCAGCCAAGCAGCGUGAAGGAUGACUGCCCUAUGGGUUGUAAACUUCUUUUAUAUGGGAAUAAAACGUUAUACGUGUGGGAUUUUGUAUGUACCAUAUGAAUAAGGAUCGGCUAACUCCGUGCCAGCAGCCGCGGUAAUACGGAGGAUCCGAGCGUUAUCCGGAUUUAUUGGGUUUAAAGGGUGCGUAGGUGGAUUGUUAAGUCAGUUGUGAAAGUUUGCGGCUCAACCGUAAAAUUGCAGGUAAAACUGGCAGUCUUGAGUACAGUAGAGGUGGGCGGAAUUCGUGGUGUAGCGGUGAAAUGCUUAGAUAUCACGAAGAACUCCGAUUGCGAAGGCAGUUCACUGGACUGCAACUGACACUGAGGCUCGAAAGUGUGGGUAUCAAACAGGAUUAGAUACCCCAGUAGUC
RNAcentral lists this ribosomal RNA (460 nucleotides) under uncultured bacterium. RNAcentral's name for it is "partial 16S ribosomal RNA". It matches the Rfam family "Bacterial small subunit ribosomal RNA", at positions 338 to 795 of the family's 1533-position model. The record is from RNAcentral.